MicroRNA precursor from Oryza rufipogon (brownbeard rice), 207 nucleotides. It matches the Rfam family "MIR812 microRNA precursor family". Lineage: Eukaryota; Viridiplantae; Streptophyta; Magnoliopsida; Poales; Poaceae. The record is from Rfam.
AAUAAGUGCAGUUUUGACUAUUCAUGUCUAACCUUUGACCGUUCGUUUUAUUUGAUUUUUUUUAAUAAUUAGUAUUUUUAUUGUUAUUAGAUGAUAAAACAUGAAUAGUACAUUAUAUGGGACUAAUUUUUUUCAUUUUUUUCAUAAUUUUUUCAAAUAAGACGGACGGUCAAACGUUGGACACGGAUACCCACGACUGCAUUUAUU